CGCCUCUUUCGCGCGCCCCUCUCCCUUCUUCGGCCUUCCUCCGGUCUCUUCGUCUCCCCCGCUUUCCGCCGAGGCCCUUCCCGGCCUCCUCCGCCUCCGGUCCCCUCCUGUUCCGGCCGAAGCCCCUUCUCGGCCGCCUUCCCUCCUUCGCAGUUGACCGGGGAGAUGCUGCGCCCCCCGAUCCAUCGGCCGAAAGGGUUCUCCUCCCUCGGGCAACGACGGCGGGAGGCCGACCCCUUCUUCCCUUCUCCGAAGUGAUGCCGGAGAAGAGGGGGAGGGCCGGGAGGCGAGGUCGGGGCCGGACCUCCUCCGGGGGUCUUCACCGGCUCCGACCACGGCUAGGUAAGGCCGUGGCCCGAGGUAAGUAUUUUAAUAUUUUUUUUUUUGUCUUUCUUCUUCUUCUGUUUCCCUCUUCCCCCUUUUUCCUUUUUUCUUGUGGGGGUCUCGCCACCACCUCUCGCCGGCGGAGAGGCGGGGGCGGAGGCUGGCGGCCUUGGGGGCCGCAUUGGUCGCCGGCAUGGCCAGAACCGGC
This 532-nucleotide long non-coding RNA is filed under the name Phoenix dactylifera (date palm). Its description in RNAcentral is "long non-coding RNA (PDAC_LNC021686)". Lineage: Eukaryota; Viridiplantae; Streptophyta; Magnoliopsida; Arecales; Arecaceae. The record is from RNAcentral.